This 320-nucleotide ribosomal RNA is filed under the name uncultured eukaryote. Its description in RNAcentral is "partial 18S ribosomal RNA". It matches the Rfam family "Eukaryotic small subunit ribosomal RNA", at positions 1470 to 1796 of the family's 1831-position model. The record is from RNAcentral.
CCCCUAGAUGUUCUGGGCCGCACGCGCGCUACACUGAACAGUUCAACAAGUCUUAACCUUGGCCGAUAGGUCUGGGUAAUCUUUGAACGCUGUUCGUGAUUGGGAUAGACCUUUGCAAUUAUGGGUCUUCAACGAGGAAUUCCUAGUAAACGCAAGUCAUCAGCUUGCAUUGAUUACGUCCCUGCCCUUUGUACACACCGCCCGUCGCACCUACCGAUUGAAUGGUCCGGUGAAAUCUCGGGACGGCCGCUUGGUCGCUUGCGUCCGACUGCUGAAACUUGAUUAAACCAUAUCAUUUAGAGGAAGGUGAAGUCGUAACA